RNAcentral lists this ribosomal RNA (451 nucleotides) under uncultured bacterium. Its description in RNAcentral is "bacterial SSU rRNA". It matches the Rfam family "Bacterial small subunit ribosomal RNA", at positions 28 to 507 of the family's 1533-position model. The record is from RNAcentral.
GAUGAAUGCUGGCGGCGCGCCUAACACAUGCAAGUCGAGCGGUAACAGGGGUAAUUUAUUACCUGCUGACGAGCGGCGGACGGCUGAGUAACGCGUGGGAACAUGCCCCAAAGUGAGGAAUAAGCACCGGAAACGGUGUCUAAUGCCGCAUAUGAUCUUAGGAUUAAAGGAUUUAUCCGCUUUGGGAGUGGCCCGCGUUCGAUUAGGUAGUUGGUGAGGUAAAGGCUCACCAAGCCCACGAUCGAUAACUGGUCUGAGAGGAUGAUCAGUCAGACUGGAACUGAGAUACGGUCCAGACUCCUACGGGAGGCAGCAGUGAGGAAUCUUCCACAAUGGGCGAAAGCCUGAUGGAGCGACGCCGCGUGCAGGAUGAAGGCUUUCGGGUCGUAAACUGCUUUUAUAAGUGAAGAAUAUGACGGUAACUUAUGAAUAAGCACCGGCUAACUACGUG